RNAcentral lists this ribosomal RNA (174 nucleotides) under Triticum aestivum (bread wheat). RNAcentral's name for it is "partial small subunit ribosomal RNA". The record is from RNAcentral. Lineage: Eukaryota; Viridiplantae; Streptophyta; Magnoliopsida; Poales; Poaceae.
AUGAUGUCCUCGGCCACGUCUAGAGUAAUCCUUAACGGUAUCCCCGGUAAGGACUUUGCUCACGGCCAAGGACUUCGCCAAGGAGACCCGCUAUCCCCCCUGCUUUUCGAUAUCGCCAUCGACCCGUUGCAACAAAUUCUGGAUAAAGCAACUGCGUCUGGUUUGAUGAGCGAA